Molecule: long non-coding RNA, 1148 nt
Organism: Rana temporaria (common frog)
Lineage: Eukaryota; Metazoa; Chordata; Amphibia; Anura; Ranidae
Exons: 3
Source: RefSeq, a predicted model, not a curated record
GAUUGCUCCUGGCCUGGGACUCAGGAAGUCAAACCUAAGAGACCUACCAAAGUCAGGAUGGCUUUGUGAGAGAAAGAAAAAGAAGAGCUGUUCCUCAUUCCCACAAGUCCAAACAAUGAAAAGGAACUCAUACAUCAAUCACUGGAAGCUCCUACAAAAGAGAAAAUAUUGUUACCAACCAAUAAACCCUGAAACAGCAAUACCUUUUUAUAUAUGAGGAUAUGCCUAAAGCCAGGCAGCCUGAGCUGACAGAAAUACCAACUGACCCAUCACAAAGUGCCAUUUUCAGAAGCCAUGUCCCCAUCCAAUCUACGCUCAGUACCUGGGGAACCAUUAGUAUGCAGAGAUCUAAGCAUUCUGCGAUCACCAUGACAAACAUCAGCUCCCUGAACUCGGCGUGUUGUGUCUCCAGAGCCCAGGUCCAGGCUUUAUACUGUACACCGGCUCGAGAAGUACGAGGUGCCAGAUGGCAUGUAUGAUGUAAUGACAAAGCUGCUGCUCCUUUGUCAAAGCCUGACAAUACUCUGGGGACAUUUUCUAGAGGAAGAGGUGUUCGGGCAGUGUCACAACAUCUACUAUGGCAUAGAAGACUCUUCAUUUCUCUACUCUAAGAAAGUUUUUGAAACAUGUCUUUUAAGGUUUUUCACAGCUCAAAAUCCUCAGAUGUGUCUCUGUCCCAAAGGCCAAAGAAAUUGCUGUUUGAUACACUUUAUAUGCAAUGCAAUGCUAUUUACAUAAUCAGAGGUAUAACUGUUUAAUUAUUUCUAGGUGAUUCAUCCCAGCUAAUAAUGAUAAUGUAAUAUUUAUUAACAUCCACUAAGAAGAGGAUCAGAGUCUUCAUUAUGGAUUAUGAAUAUGGGGUGGUUUAAUUAUUCAUGGAUACCUGUAAUAGUAUAGUUGACUAAAAGUGAUAGAAUUUAUAGAACAACGUGGAACAUUAAAAUUUAAUUAUUGUUCAUAAAAAUGCUUAUUUCCCUGUUAUAAUUAUUCUCUUAAGAGACUGCUGCUAUACGGAAAUGUUAAAUUACGAAAAUAAGUUUGGUGGCUGCCAUGAAAAAAAACGAUCUUCGUCACUUAUCACAGCUAUGAAGUCUUAUUAACUUUUUUUCCGUGGUUCUAAUUUAUGAUAAAUAUAUGGUUCUAAUUCA